UUUGCUCAAAUUUGAUGGAUUCUAGUCCGUAUUUGCACGUAUCUCCCUCAAAUACUGAUAAUGUCCAUCAAUGAUCACCUGAAACAUGAAAGGACCAAAACACAAGUGAUUCUAGCAUAAAAUAAGAUAACUAUGCACAAAAAUGGAAGUAAUAUGGCAUAUAAACAUGUGUAACACAAUGCAUAUCAAAUCACCCCACACUUAAGCUUUUGCUUGUCCUCAAGCAAUC
RNAcentral lists this long non-coding RNA (229 nucleotides) under Ricinus communis (castor bean). RNAcentral's name for it is "long non-coding RNA (RCOM_LNC002923)". The record is from RNAcentral. Lineage: Eukaryota; Viridiplantae; Streptophyta; Magnoliopsida; Malpighiales; Euphorbiaceae.